RNAcentral lists this long non-coding RNA (206 nucleotides) under Elaeis guineensis (African oil palm). RNAcentral's name for it is "long non-coding RNA (EGUI_LNC016673)". The record is from RNAcentral. Lineage: Eukaryota; Viridiplantae; Streptophyta; Magnoliopsida; Arecales; Arecaceae.
ACUGUUCUGAUACACAAUCCAACUGUCGUGUUUAUAAUAAAUAAAUAAUAAAAUUAAAUUAAUUAAAACAUACAUAUGAUUAAUUUAUUAUGAAAUUAAUUUAAAGAUAGAAUUUUUAUCAAUCAGUCGGCCACAAUAUGUGCGCCAAUAAAGCCGUCAGUGUGCAGGAUUGGAUACUGCUGGAUGGAUCGAUUCUACCGUACCUU